GACGAACGCUGGCGGCGUGCUUAACACAUGCAAGUCGAACGGAAAGGCCCUGCUUUUGUGGGGUGCUCGAGUGGCGAACGUGUGAGUAACACGUGAGUAACCUUCCCUUUACUUUGGGAUAACUUCAGGAAACUGGGGCUAAUACCUGCUAGGAGCUCCUGCUGCAUGGUGGGGGUUGGAAAGUUUCGGCGGUUGGGGAUGGACUCGCGGCUUAUCAGCUUGUUGGUGGGGUAGUGGCUUACCAAGGCUUUGAAGGGUAGCCGGCCUGAGAGGGUGGACGGCCACAUUGGGACUGAGAUACGGCGCAGACUCCUACGGGAGGCAGCAGGGGGGAAUAUUGCACAGUGGGCGGAAGCCUGAUGCAGAAACGCCGCGUGCGGGAUGAAGGCCUUCGGGUGGUAAACCGCUUUCGCCUGUGACGAAGCGUGAGUGACGGUAAUGGGUAAAGAAGCACCGGCUAACUACGUG
This 468-nucleotide ribosomal RNA is filed under the name uncultured bacterium. RNAcentral describes it as "partial 16S ribosomal RNA". It matches the Rfam family "Bacterial small subunit ribosomal RNA", at positions 28 to 507 of the family's 1533-position model. The record is from RNAcentral.